RNAcentral lists this non-coding RNA (120 nucleotides) under Pedosphaera parvula Ellin514. Its description in RNAcentral is "SAM riboswitch aptamer (S box leader)". It matches the Rfam family "SAM riboswitch aptamer (S box leader)". Rfam says of the family: The SAM riboswitch is found upstream of a number of genes which code for proteins involved in methionine or cysteine biosynthesis in Gram-positive bacteria. The SAM riboswitch acts at the level of transcription termination control. The record is from Rfam by way of RNAcentral. Lineage: Bacteria; Pseudomonadati; Verrucomicrobiota; Pedosphaerae; Pedosphaerales; Pedosphaeraceae. RNAcentral also lists the same sequence under 1 other name.
AUCUCAUGAAGAGUGGUUGAGGGACUGGCCCUACGAAACCACGGCAACCGGCUGGGACGCGAUUUCCAGUGCAGGUGCCAAGUCCAGCUCGAGCACCAUUAGCUCGGGGAAAAAUGAGAA